CACGUAGGGCGCAAGCGUUGUCCGGAAUUAUUGGGCGUAAAGAGCUCGUAGGCGGUCUGUUGCGUCCGCUGUGAAAACCCGGGGCUUAACCCCUGGCUUGCAGUGGAUACGGACAGACUAGAGGUAGGUGGGGGAGAAUGGAAUUCCCGGUGUAGCGGUGAAAUGCGCAGAUAUCGGGAGGAACACCGGUGGCGAAGGCGGUUCUCUGGGCCUUACCUGACGCUGAGGAGCGAAAGCGUGGGGAGCGAACAGG
This 253-nucleotide ribosomal RNA is filed under the name uncultured bacterium. RNAcentral's name for it is "partial 16S ribosomal RNA". It matches the Rfam family "Bacterial small subunit ribosomal RNA", at positions 524 to 776 of the family's 1533-position model. The record is from RNAcentral.